Long non-coding RNA from Ictalurus punctatus (channel catfish), 449 nucleotides. The record is from Ensembl. NCBI's taxonomy places the organism in Eukaryota, Metazoa, Chordata, Actinopteri, Siluriformes, Ictaluridae.
GUAUAGUAUAGUGUAGUAUAGUAUAUUAUUGUAUAGUGUAGUAUAGUAUAGUAUAGUAUAUUAUUGUAUAGUGUAGUAUAGUAUAGUAUAGUAUAGUAUAGUAUAUUAUAUUAUUGUAUAGUGUAGUGUAGUAUAGUAUAGUAUAGUAUAUUGUAUAUGUAGUGUAGUAUAGUAUAGUAUAGUAUAUUAUUGUAUAGUGUAGUAUAGUAUAGUAUAGUAUAGUAUAUUGUAUAGUGUAGUAUAGUAUAGUAUACUAUAGUAUAGUAUAUUAUUGUAUAGUGUAGUCUAGCAUAGUAUAGUAUAUUAUUGUAUAGUGUAGUCUAGUAUAGUAUAGUGUAGUAUAAUAUAUUAUUGUAUAGUGUAGUGUAGUAUAGUAUAUUAUUGUAUAGUGUAGUGUAGUAUAGUAUAGUAUAGUAUAGUAUAGUAUAUUAUUGUAUAGUGUAGUGUAG